RNAcentral lists this ribosomal RNA (468 nucleotides) under uncultured bacterium. Its description in RNAcentral is "partial 16S ribosomal RNA". It matches the Rfam family "Bacterial small subunit ribosomal RNA", at positions 28 to 507 of the family's 1533-position model. The record is from RNAcentral.
GACGAACGCUGGCGGCGUGCUUAACACAUGCAAGUCGAACGGAAAGGCCCUGCUUUUGUGGGGUGCUCGAGUGGCGAACGGGUGAGUAACACGUGAGUAACCUGCCCUUGACUUUGGGAUAACUUCAGGAAACUGGGGCUAAUACCGGAUAGGAGCUCCUGCUGCAUGGUGGGGGUUGGAAAGUUUCGGCGGUUGGGGAUGGACGCGCGGCUUAUCAGCUUGUUGGUGGGGUAGUGGCUUACCAAGGCGUUGACGGGUAGCCGGCCUGAGAGGGUGACCGGCCACAUGGGGACUGGGAUACGGCCCAGACUCCUACGGGAGGCAGCAGUGGGGAAUAUUGCACAAUGGGCGGAAGCCUGAUGCAGCAACGCCGCGUGCGGGAUGACGGCCGUCGGGUUGUAAACCGCUUUCGCCUGUGACGAAGCGUGAGUGACGGUAAUGGGUAAAGAAGCACCGGCUAACUACGUG